UCGCUGAGGGAUGGGCCUGCGGCCUAUCAGGUAGUUGGUGGGGUAAAGGCCUACCAAGCCUGCGACGGGUAGCCGGACUGAGAGGUCGACCGGCCACACUGGAACUGAGACACGGUCCAGACUCCUACGGGAGGCAGCAGUGGGGAAUAUUGCACAAUGGGGGAAACCCUGAUGCAGCGACGCCGCGUGGAGGAUGACGGCCUUCGGGUUGUAAACUCCUUUUGUCAGGGACAAUGGUGAUGGUACCUGACGAAUAAGCCACGGCUAACUCUGUGCCAGCAGCCGCGGUAAGACAGAGGUGGCGAGCGUUGUUCGGAAUUACUGGGCUUAAAGGGCGCGUAGGCGGUGGUGUAAGUCUGGGGUGGAAUGCUACAGCUCAACUGUAGAGCUGCCUUGGAAACUGCAUUACUUGAGUCGGUGAGGGGAAGGCGGAAUUCCUGGUGUAGCGGUGAAAUGCGUAGAUAUCAGGAGGAAGGUCUGUGGCGAAGGCGGCCUUCUGGCACUUGACUGACGCUGAGGCGCGAAAGCGUGGGGAGCAAACAGGAUUAGAUACCCUGGUAGUCCACGCCCUAAACGGUGGGUAUUAGGUGUGGGGCCUUCAUGGGUUCCGUGCCGUAGCGAAAGCA
RNAcentral lists this ribosomal RNA (626 nucleotides) under uncultured bacterium. Its description in RNAcentral is "bacterial SSU rRNA". It matches the Rfam family "Bacterial small subunit ribosomal RNA", at positions 215 to 859 of the family's 1533-position model. The record is from RNAcentral.